Molecule: ribosomal RNA, 497 nt
Filed under: uncultured bacterium
Lineage: Bacteria
Description: partial 16S ribosomal RNA
Rfam family: Bacterial small subunit ribosomal RNA
Source: RNAcentral
GAUGAACGCUGGCGGCGUGCCUAAUACAUGCAAGUCGAGCGAACGGACGAGAAGCUUGCUUCUCUGAUGUUAGCGGCGGACAGGUGAGUAACACGUGGAUAACCUACCUAUAAGACUGGGAUAACUUCGGGAAACCGGAGCUAAUACCGGAUGAUAUUUUGAACCGCAUGGUUCAAAAGUGAAAGACGGUCUUGCUGUCACUUAUAGAUGGAUCCGCGCUGCAUUAGCUAGUUGGUAAGGUAACGGCUUACCAAGGCAACGAUGCAUAGCCGACCUGAGAGGGUGAUCGGCCACACUGGAACUGAGACACGGUCCAGACUCCUACGGGAGGCAGCAGUAGGGAAUCUUCCGCAAUGGGCGAAAGCCUGACGGAGCAACGCCGCGUGAGUGAUGAAGGUCUUCGGAUCGUAAAACUCUGUUAUUAGGGAAGAACAUAUGUGUAAGUAACUGUGCACAUCUUGACGGUACCUAAUCAGAAAGCCACGGCUAACUACGUG